This 297-nucleotide unclassified non-coding RNA is filed under the name Hevea brasiliensis (rubber tree). Lineage: Eukaryota; Viridiplantae; Streptophyta; Magnoliopsida; Malpighiales; Euphorbiaceae. The record is from RNAcentral.
AAGCUACUCUGAUUAAGGGAGCACUUCAACCAGGCAAAAAAUUUUGAUUUAAGGAGUAGCAGGUUCCUAGUCCUCCUCCUCCUCCCCAAAUGAAAAAUAAGAAAAAGGCUGAUUAUACAAGUUGAAAUUGGUUUUACCUGGGAAAUCCAUUGUGCUUUUUAUACAUGCACUCUUAUGCGAGGUUCCUCUUUAGUUUAUUCACCCUGACACCUAGGAAAACAUUGAGCUUGAUGAUGCCUGCUUCCUGUAUCUCAAUAAUCAUUAUUUGGCUGUUGGGAACUUCUUCAUAUAAUCAUG